UGACUGAGCUGCGCACGGCUCAUUAUCACAGGCUUUCAACCUUUUUCUUAAAUCCCAAUGGGAUAACUGCAUGAAAUGCGGGAGCUCAUACCCGCACUUAAGACCCAACGCAGAUUCGGUUGCAAUUAUUACGUCAAACCAAUCAUCCCCGUGCCGUAUUGGGGCGACUCCGUUUAACCCGAUCUAUCCUCCGUAUAAUCCGACCAAGGCCCAAAAGGGUUUCUGCCCUAUGUCUGAUCUGUAACUUUCUAUACUACCGUGGUUGUCACGGGUACCGGAGAAUUGGGGUUUGACUCCAGAGAGGGAGCCUUAGAAACGGCUACCAAAACACAGGAAUGCCACCCGCGGAAAGCUUAUCGCCUGUCAAAUAUGAAAUAGUGACUAAAAAUAUAAAAUCCCUCCCUCAUGGGAGGGAUAUUUAAAUGAGUAUGAGGUUAAAAAGCUCUUCGAGAAACUAAGAAAGGGCAAGUCUGGUGCCAGCAGCCGCGGUAAUUCCAGCUCUCUAAGUGUAAAUCGUUAUUGUUGCGGUUAAAAAGCUCGUAGUUGGAUUUAUGGUGGAUCAGUGUGCGUUCGCUCUAUCGGGCGUUAAUGCCUACGCCAUCAUUUCGGCAGUUUGCG
RNAcentral lists this ribosomal RNA (618 nucleotides) under Diploscapter coronatus. RNAcentral describes it as "SSU rRNA". It matches the Rfam family "Eukaryotic small subunit ribosomal RNA", at positions 79 to 708 of the family's 1831-position model. The record is from RNAcentral. Lineage: Eukaryota; Metazoa; Nematoda; Chromadorea; Rhabditida; Rhabditidae.